RNAcentral lists this long non-coding RNA (371 nucleotides) under Solanum lycopersicum (tomato). RNAcentral describes it as "partial TCONS_00093941". The record is from RNAcentral. Lineage: Eukaryota; Viridiplantae; Streptophyta; Magnoliopsida; Solanales; Solanaceae.
UGCUUCUUAGAGUCAUUGAGAUUUUACGUUUCCAUACCGUAUUAAAGGUUCAUAAUCUUGAUAAAACAUUAAUCUUUGGUAAUACUCCUUGCUGGUUCACUUUGAUUGUUCUAUUGAGUUAUAAGAAAUGAUUUUAAUUGCAUGGUUGCUCAUAAUAUUCUGCUCGUGCAUAGAGUCAUUUAUCAUUUCACCGAGUCCCGGGCCGGGUAAUGUUCAUGCGGAGUUUCUUGCAUAUGUCACCGAGUCCCUCACUAGAGGGCCGGGUAUGUAUAUUAUAUAUAUGAUUGGUGAUGAGGAUGGUUAUGAUGAUGAUGAUGACAGAGAUGAUGUGAUGACUAUUUCACCGAGUCCCUCAAUAAAGGGCCCGGUAC